UCCCUGGUGGCUCAGAUGGUAAAGCAUCUGCCUACAAUGCAGGAGACCAGGGUUCGAUCCCUGGGUUGGGAA
RNAcentral lists this transfer RNA (72 nucleotides) under Capra hircus (goat). It matches the Rfam family "tRNA". Rfam says of the family: Transfer RNA (tRNA) molecules are approximately 80 nucleotides in length. The record is from Rfam by way of RNAcentral. Lineage: Eukaryota; Metazoa; Chordata; Mammalia; Artiodactyla; Bovidae. RNAcentral also lists the same sequence under 1 other name.